AGGUAAGAAGCACAGAGGUGAGCAAAAUCAUCUCAGUGGGAUCCAUCUAAAGGUGGGAGUAUGUGAAGUCUGGAGACACAAAGACCUGACAGAAAUAAAGCCAAGACCCCCUUCAGUUCUUUUUUAGCCACUUGGAAAUCAUUACUCUGAACAAAGGAACUCCACCAAAAGACUCCUUAACAGUCCAAAGAGAAGAAAGAGGGCAGAAGGUUAUGGUCAGGGUGGACAAGACCAGACCCCAAGUGGAUCUGAAGCCCACCAGCACAGCCAAGGUGUUUCCCAUUGCUCACUGCCUUCUCUGCACUCUGCCUCCAGCACCAGCGGCACAGGGGCCUCCUCAAGAGUCACCAAGUCCAUUUAUACUUUAUGAAUCAACUGCCAUCAGUCCUGAGACCCUUACUAAAAACAGCUGCACCUAAGCAAGGUGUGUUUCCAACACCAGAAAGAGGCUUUAAAAAGUUGACACGAGAAAACAAGGGCUGCACUUCCCAACUCUGAGCCCAGGGUAUCGUGGCCCCUGCCAAUACUGGACCCACCCACACCCCGUUGCUCCAGGCACCAGAGAACAGACCUGUCUUCUCCCACCCAGAUCAGUUCCUUACUGUGCUGGCUUCAGUGUCACUUGGUUCAGAUUCAGACACCUGACCAGGAUAUGCAUCUACUGGCACCAUGGGUAUACGCCUCCUCCCCACUGGGCUCUUGAAGGGACUCACGCUGUGAAGCAGCUUCCAAAAAGUGACUUGAAAACCUGGGCAAA
Molecule: long non-coding RNA, 757 nt
Organism: Acinonyx jubatus (cheetah)
Lineage: Eukaryota; Metazoa; Chordata; Mammalia; Carnivora; Felidae
Exons: 4
Source: RefSeq, a predicted model, not a curated record